GUGCUGGUUUUGGCAGCACAGACACUAAAAUUGGAACAAUACAGAGAAGAUUAGCAUGCUCCCUGCACAAGUCGACACACAAAUUCAUGAAGCAUUCCAUAAUUUU
This is a small nuclear RNA of Sorex araneus (European shrew), 106 nucleotides long. Lineage: Eukaryota; Metazoa; Chordata; Mammalia; Eulipotyphla; Soricidae. The record is from Ensembl.